AUUGAACGCUGGCGGCAGGCUUAACACAUGCAAGUCGAGCGGGGUGAUGGUGCUUGCACUAUCACUUAGCGGCGGACGGGUGAGUAAUGCUUAGGAAUCUGCCUAUUAGUGGGGGACAACAUCUCGAAAGGGAUGCUAAUACCGCGUACGUCCUACGGGAGAAAGCAGGGGAUCACUUGUGACCUUGCGCUAAUAGAUGAGCCUAAGUCGGAUUAGCUAGUUGGUGGGGUAAAGGCCUACCAAGGCGACGAUCUGUAGCGGGUCUGGGAGGAUGAUCCGCCACACUGGGACUGAGAAACGGCCCAGACUCCUACGGGAGGCAGCAGUGGGGAAUAUUGGACAAUGGGGGGAACCCUGAUCCAGCCAUGCCGCGUGUGUGAAGAAGGCCUUAUGGUUGUAAAGCACUUUAAGCGAGGAGGAGGCUCUUUUGGUUAAUACCCAAGAUGAGUGGACGUUACUCGCAGAAUAAGCACCGGCUAAUUCUGUGCCAGCCGCCGCCGUAA
This 503-nucleotide ribosomal RNA is filed under the name uncultured bacterium. Its description in RNAcentral is "partial 16S ribosomal RNA". It matches the Rfam family "Bacterial small subunit ribosomal RNA", at positions 30 to 523 of the family's 1533-position model. The record is from RNAcentral.